GUGUGGCCACGGCAGAGCCGGCGCACUUGCCACAAAUAAGUUGGUUGUUUUUUUUACAAAAUUUUCUUCAACUUUACUCAAAGAGCCAUUUAAUCAAGACCUGGUUGAUACUUAUCUAGAAAUUAAUUAUUCCAUGCGUAUAAUAAUAGUUUACUCGUGAUAGAUCACACGCUGAGUUAAAAAAAAUCCAUGUCUUAAAUAAAAAUUGCAGAGUGAAAAGAACUUGGACACAUGUAAUACUGGGCUGGAUCUUGUCCAUGUUUUUGUAAAAGGCCGUCACUAAAUUUAUCAAAAAGAUUUUAUUCAAGAUCUUUGUCUAACUUUUUUUUAGGUUGAUUGACUUUUUUGGUGAGAAAACAAACUAAAAGUACAAUAGGACUGUUAUAGGAUCCUUAUAACACUUUAAAAAGCCCAAAUGUGAGGCCCAAACCAUUCUGUUAGCAUAAUCAACCCAAAAGCCUUCCCUGUACCACAAAGUUCAUGGAAAUGUAAUACAUCGAGAGGGGAUUUUCCAGAAACUAUGGUAACAAAAAUUUAAAUCACAAAUCAUUCAGACAACUCGCACGAGCUAGCGAUUUAUUCAAAGAUUGACUGAUGUCUUAAGUGGAUUUUGUUCCAAAAUUUAAAUCGUCUGUGGCAUGGAAGAGAAAAUGAAUAUAUGAAGAUUACAAACGACAUAUUAAUUACAAAAGUUAGAGAAAUACAUUUUGAGUGGUAGCCUUAUGUGAUUACUUUUUUUUUCUUCUUUUAGAAUUAAUUUUAACUUUUCGGCUUAAAAUGUUAAGCCUCAUUUCAUACAAAUUAUAUUUCAUUGUCAUUAAAAUUAGAUUUAUAAGAAAAGAAAUUAAUAAUGAAGAUUAUAAAUUAAAGGUGACUCGAUAUUAUGAGAAUCAACAAGAACAAUGCUAAAUGAAAUUUUGUAUUUAAA
Molecule: long non-coding RNA, 928 nt
Organism: Episyrphus balteatus (marmalade hoverfly)
Lineage: Eukaryota; Metazoa; Arthropoda; Insecta; Diptera; Syrphidae
Exons: 3
Source: RefSeq, a predicted model, not a curated record